UUGCCCCAAACGCCGCGUUUUGCAUGUUGAAGGGCCAAAGGGAACCCUAGUCACAGAGGCACAGACCUCACCCCUAUCCUCUCUCGAGCUUCCACUCUCACUCUCACCUCUCACCUCUCACCUCUCACGUUUCCAGUCUCCACUCUCACUCUCCGUCCAGCCACCGCCACUUCCGUCCAACCACCGCUGCCGUCGCAACUUCCAACUUUGAACAGCCACCGCCUGCUCCCUCACUUCCCUUCCUUCGCGCAGCAAACGUCGCAAACUUCCUUCCCUCCAUCGCGAAGCCACCGCUCGAUCGUUAAAGCCUCCAUCGCGCAGCCACUGUCUUGCCGCGCCAGCUCUGUUCCACUGCGCUCCUGUCCCUUCAGCGGCGUCUGCUCUGUUCCAUCGCGCGGCCCUUCCCUCGAAGAUUAUUCCCUGGAAUUUCCCUCUUCCCAUGUUUGCUUGGAAGCUCCAUCUCCCUCUCCCUCUCCCUCUCCCUGUUCUGUUCGAAUUUCAGAACAUGCUCCAGCCUAAGAAAGAGAAUGGAAUUGAGGUAUAUCAAUUUACAGGUAGCUAUAAAUUGAAAAUAAGACACUCAUUGGGCAGAGCUCCUUUGUUACUUCAGAUGCAAUACCUGAGAUUAAGAAUUGAAUGGAAGAUGAGCAAUAUUGAGUUUCUUUUCGUUUGAUUGUUUGAAUAUGAAUUCAAGAUUUUGUAAAACUGACUUUUACUAGGAAUCUUACAGCUUGCUCAAUAUGUUUCAGUUCCUCCUAGGCUGAGCCAACAUACUGAGCAUGACAGAUUCAUGUUAUGAUAUAAAUAUGGAAUAGAAGGAAUGAUCUCAAAUGGUUGAUUGGUGCUCACCUCAUCAGUGGCCUCAAUACACCAUCUCUCUAAUUUACCCAAUCCUACCUUUACAUACUCUCUAUUGCUGAAUGAACAACACUCAAAAUGUUAGUAUUUUCUAUGCAGCAAAUUGACAUGUAAUAUGAAGAUGGUGAAUAAUU
Molecule: long non-coding RNA, 992 nt
Organism: Arachis duranensis
Lineage: Eukaryota; Viridiplantae; Streptophyta; Magnoliopsida; Fabales; Fabaceae
Exons: 4
Source: RefSeq, a predicted model, not a curated record